This is an RNA transcript of Hordeum vulgare subsp. vulgare (domesticated barley), 2553 nucleotides long. It is a transcript of the gene named L-type lectin-domain containing receptor kinase IX.1-like, with no coding region annotated. NCBI's taxonomy places the organism in Eukaryota, Viridiplantae, Streptophyta, Magnoliopsida, Poales, Poaceae. The record is from RefSeq and is a predicted model, not a curated record. The transcript has 3 exons.
AAAAACUUCAUUCGUCCCUGAUAUAUACUAUCGUGUAUACAUUGCUUGCAUGCUCAAGACCCUACACGUAAGGUUCAUGGCUAAGGUGAUGAAGAGAGCCAAGUGCCCUCUCGUCCUCAGCUUCCCCUACCUGCUCCAGGUCAUAUGGUGGUGUUGCCUUCCCCAAGCCACCUCGCUUAGCUUCGACUACGACUUCUCCGUUCCCGGCGUGCUCGCCGGCGCCGACCUCAGGUACAUGAACGACUCUGCCGCCCUCCAGGACCGGAUCGAGCUGACCAACUACUCGAGGAGCUGGAGCACCGGCCGGGUGGCCUACGGGAAGGCCGUGCGUCUCUGGGACGAGAGCACUGGCAAGGUCGCGAGCUUCACCAGCAACUUCGCCUUUGCCAUCACUCCCGCUACCAGCAACAGCGCGGCAUGUACAAAUUUCCUGCAAUUUCUACUAGAGUACAUGUCAGUCGUUUUUGUAAUUAUCAAGUAACGUUGCUUGCGGUUGCGGUGCAGAGAGGUGAUGGCAUGGCCUUUUUCUUGGGGCCUUACCCGCCGAGCAUGCCGACGGACGCCCGCGGCGGCCACCUCGCGCUGAUCAACAACCGCGACAACCCGGCAAACAAAGAUUCCCCACGAACCGUCGCCGUGGAGUUCGACGCGUUCAAGAACGCCGGCUGGGACCCUGAUGGCACCAACUGCCACAUCGGCGUCAACGUCAACGACAUUAGGUCGGCGGAGACCACCGCGCUGCCGGACGGGUUCUUCAACGGGAUCAUGUCGGCGUCGGUCAGGUACGACGCCCAAGCGGCCACGCUCUCGGCCACCCUGAGGUUGGAUGAUCCGCCGGGGCAGAGUCCAUACACCGUCAGCGCCAACGUCGACCUGCGGAACGUCGGUCUGCCGCAGGAAGCAGCGGUGGGAUUCUCGGCCUCCAUUGGGGACCUCGUCGAGAAGCAUCAGAUUCUUUCUUGGUCAUUCCAGUCCUCUAUGACCGAUUCCAAGACAAAAGGCACAAGUCUGAUAGCUGGGCUAGUAUCCUCUGGUUUGCUCAUAUUGCUUGCCAUAGCCGUAUGGCUCGGCUACCGCCAAUAUGUGAAGAGGAAGGGCAAGAACAUCCAUGACAACAUACCUGAAGAUGCGGAUGAGACCCCUCUUGAUGACCAGGACAUGGACAGCGAGUUGGAGAAAGGGACAGCACCACGGAGAUUUAGUUACAGCGAGUUAUGGCGGGCGACACGGGGAUUCAGCGAUGAUGAGAAGCUCGGCGAGGGUGGGUUCGGGGCAGUGUACAGAGGUUUCUUGCAUGACCGUGGGCUCCAUGUUGCCAUCAAGAGGGUGUCCAAGAUGUCGAGUCAAGGAAGGAGGGAAUAUAUCGCAGAAGUGACCACCAUCGGCCGGCUGAGGCAUCGCAACCUUGUUCAGCUCGUCGGAUGGUGCCACAAAGCUGACGAGCUCCUACUCAUCUACGAGCUCAUGACCAACGGUAGCCUCGACGUUCAUCUCUACAAAUCCAGAGACAUCCUAACAUGGCCAAUCAGGUACAAGAUCACUCUUGGCAUGGGGCAUGCACUCAUGUACCUGCACCAGGAGUGGGAGCAGUGCGUGGUGCAUAGGGACAUCAAGCCCAGCAACGUGAUGCUCGACUCCUCCUUUGACGCCAGGUUGGGAGACUUCGGGCUGGCGCGCCUCGUCGACCACAGCCGCGGCGCGCACACGACGAUGCUGGCCGGCACCAAGGGUUACAUGGACCCUCAGUGCGCGGUGACCAGCAGGGCUAGCGCCGAGACCGACGUCUACAGCUUUGGGGUCGUCCUCCUCGAGAUCGCCUGCGGCCGGAGGCCCGUCAUCCAGGAGCUGGAGGACGAGAGCAGGAUGGUGCUGGUCGAGUGGGUAUGGGCUCUCUACGGGAGAGGCGCACUCCUCGACGCGGUGGACGCGCGGUUAGACGGCGAGUUCGAUGCGCGUGAGAUGGAGCGCACGCUGCUGGUGGGCCUCUGGUGCGUUCACCCGGACUACGGCUUCCGGCCGUCCAUCCGGCAAGCCAUGAGCGUGCUCCAGUUCGAGGCGCCCCUUCCAGAACUCCCCCCGGAGAUGCCGGUGGCACUACUGUACGUGCUGCCGCACCCGCACGGACGCUACGGGUCGAGCUACACGUCGUCGUCAACAGCGACCAGCGCCAGCACCGGCCACCGCCGACAGCAGGAGUGCCAUCCUGAUGAGGCUGAUAGCGUCGACAACGAAUCAGACCCCCGGCAGGACCGAGCAUGUUCAGUCCACGCCGCGCAACUCUCCUAGCAUGUUUCUCAUGUUUAGUCAAGGAGUUUUGGUACCAGGAGCGACAAUAUCAGGCGACAACAUCUUUUACAUGCUCCUCUGUUUCCAAUCUAAAAAGUUAUAAUCAAAUGUUUCAGAAUAGUAUUAAAAAAAGGAGCUAUAUAUGAAUGUCAUUGUGAAUGUUAGCAAGACAUGUGGCCACGAACCCUAACAAAAAAUAAUCCACACAAACUGGAAACACGGAAGAGACAAAUCAAUAUAUGAAUAGUACGUACCAGUUUUACACUA